GCCUUACACAUGCAAGUCGAACGGCAGCACGGGGGCAACCCUGGUGGCGAGUGGCGAACGGGUGAGUAAUACAUCGGAACGUGUCCUGUAGUGGGGGAUAGCCCGGCGAAAGCCGGAUUAAUACCGCAUACGCUCUACGGAGGAAAGGGGGGGAUCUUCGGACCUCUCGCUAUGGGGGCGGCCGAUGGCAGAUUAGCUAGUUGGUGGGGUAAAGGCCUACCAAGGCGACGAUCUGUAGCUGGUCUGAGAGGACGACCAGCCACACUGGGAUUGAGACACGGCCCAGACUCCUACGGGAGGCAGCAGUGGGGAAUUUUGGACAAUGGGCGCAAGCCUGAUCCAGCAAUGCCGCGUGUGUCAA
Molecule: ribosomal RNA, 361 nt
Filed under: uncultured bacterium
Lineage: Bacteria
Description: bacterial SSU rRNA
Rfam family: Bacterial small subunit ribosomal RNA
Source: RNAcentral